AUUGAACGCUGGCGGCAUGCUUUACACAUGCAAGUCGAACGGCAACAGGGUGCUUGCACCGCUGACGAGUGGCGAACGGGUGAGUAAUGCGUCGGAACGUGCCCUGUUGUGGGGGAUAACUAGUCGAAAGAUUAGCUAAUACCGCAUACGACCUGAGGGUGAGAGUGGGGGACCGCAAGGCCUCACGCAGCAGGAGCGGCCGAUGUCUGAUUAGCUAGUUGGUGGGGUAAAGGCCCACCAAGGCGACGAUCAGUAGCUGGUCUGAGAGGACGAUCAGCCACACUGGGACUGAGACACGGCCCAGACUCCUACGGGAGGCAGCAGUGGGGAAUUUUGGACAAUGGGGGCAACCCUGAUCCAGCUAUGCCGCGUGUGUGAAGAAGGCCUUCGGGUUGUAAAGCACUUUUGUCCGGAAAGAAAUCGCGCUGGUUAAUACCUGGCGUGGAUGACGGUACCGGAAGAAUAAGCACCGGCUAACUACGUGCCAGCCGCCGCCGUAA
This 500-nucleotide ribosomal RNA is filed under the name uncultured bacterium. RNAcentral's name for it is "partial 16S ribosomal RNA". It matches the Rfam family "Bacterial small subunit ribosomal RNA", at positions 30 to 523 of the family's 1533-position model. The record is from RNAcentral.